ACGAACGCUGGCGGCAUGCCUAACACAUGCAAGUCGAACGAGACCUUCGGGUCUAGUGGCGCACGGGUGCGUAACGCGUGGGAACCUGCCCUUAGGUUCGGAAUAACUCCCCGAAAGGGGUGCUAAUACCGGAUAAUGUCUUCGGACCAAAGAUUUAUCGCCUUUGGAUGGGCCCGCGUUGGAUUAGCUAGUUGGUAGGGUAAAAGCCUACCAAGGCGACGAUCCAUAGCUGGUCUGAGAGGAUGAUCAGCCACACUGGGACUGAGACACGGCCCAGACUCCUACGGGAGGCAGCAGUGGGGAAUAUUGGACAAUGGGCGAAAGCCUGAUCCAGCAAUGCCGCGUGAGUGAUGAAGGCCUUAGGGUUGUAAAGCUCUUAUACCCGGGAUGAUAAUGACAGUACCGGGAGAAUAAGCUCCGGCUAACUCCGUG
Molecule: ribosomal RNA, 432 nt
Filed under: uncultured bacterium
Lineage: Bacteria
Description: partial 16S ribosomal RNA
Rfam family: Bacterial small subunit ribosomal RNA
Source: RNAcentral